AUUGAACGCUGGCGGCAUGCCUUACACAUGCAAGUCGAACGGCAGCACGGGUGCUUGCACCUGGUGGCGAGUGGCGAACGGGUGAGUAAUACAUCGGAACAUGUCCUGUAGUGGGGGAUAGCCCGGCGAAAGCCGGAUUAAUACCGCAUACGAUCUACGGAUGAAAGCGGGGGACCUUCGGGCCUCGCGCUAUAGGGUUGGCCGAUGGCUGAUUAGCUAGUUGGUGGGGUAAAGGCCUACCAAGGCGACGAUAAGUAGCUGGUCUGAGAGGACGACCAGCCACACUGGGACUGAGACACGGCCCAGACUCCUACGGGAGGCAGCAGUGGGGAAUUUUGGACAAUGGGCGAAAGCCUGAUCCAGCAAUGCCGCGUGUGUGAAGAAGGCCUUCGGGUUGUAAAGCACUUUUGUCCGGAAAGAAAUCCUUGGCUCUAAUACAGUCGGGGGAUGACGGUACCGGAAGAAUAAGCACCGGCUAACUACGUG
This 486-nucleotide ribosomal RNA is filed under the name uncultured bacterium. Its description in RNAcentral is "partial 16S ribosomal RNA". It matches the Rfam family "Bacterial small subunit ribosomal RNA", at positions 30 to 507 of the family's 1533-position model. The record is from RNAcentral.